This 254-nucleotide ribosomal RNA is filed under the name uncultured bacterium. RNAcentral describes it as "partial 16S ribosomal RNA". It matches the Rfam family "Bacterial small subunit ribosomal RNA", at positions 524 to 776 of the family's 1533-position model. The record is from RNAcentral.
UACGGAGGGGGCAAGCGUUGUUCGGAAUUACUGGGCGUAAAGGGCGCGCAGGCGGCUGCUCAAGUCAGGCGUGAAAGGCCUGGGCUCAACCCGGGAAUUGCGCUUGAGACUGGGCUGGCUUGAGUGCGGGAGAGGAUGGUGGAAUUCCCAGUGUAGAGGUGAAAUUCGUAGAUAUUGGGAAGAACACCGGUGGCGAAGGCGGCCAUCUGGACAGUGACUGACGCUGAGAUACGAAAGCGUGGGGAGCAAACAGG